ACUUUCGCCGUAUGGGCGCGGGGCGACCCGCGUCUUCAUAUACCUCUUCGUGUAGAAAGUCUUUGAAUGUUUUUACAAUCAUCGAGUCGUGACUUCUAGGAGACGCGAUUCUUUGAGACAAAAGUUAUCACAACUUUCAGCAAUGGAUCUCUUGGCUCUCGCAUCGAUGAAGAACGCAGCGAAUCGCGAUAUGUAAUGUGAAUUGCAGAUCUACAGUGAAUCAUCGAAUCUUUGAACGCACCUUGCGCUCCUCGGUGUUCCGAGGAGCAUGCCUGUUUGAGCGUCAGUAAAUUCUCAACCCCUCUCGAUUUGCUUCGAGUGGGGCUUGGAUAGUGGGGGCUGCCGGAGACCCGGAAUUCAUUCCGGGACUCGGGCUCCUCUGAAAUGCAUCGGCUUGCGGUCGACUUUCGACUUUGCGCGACAAAGCUUUCGGCGUGAUAAUGAUCGCCGUUCGCUGAAGCGCAUGAAUGAAUGGUCCCGUGCCUCUAAUCAGUCGACGCCUUCUGGGCGUCUUCCUUAUAGACGUUUGACCUCGAAUCAGGUAGGACUACCCGCUGAACUUAUGCUUAUCAAUAAGCGGAGGAUAAGAUACUAACAAGGAUUCCCCUAGUAACUGCGAGUGAACCGGGAAAAGCUCAAAUUUUGAAUCUGGCGGUCUUUACGGUCGUCCGAGUUG
This 676-nucleotide ribosomal RNA is filed under the name uncultured Suillus. RNAcentral's name for it is "eukaryotic LSU rRNA". The stretch from base 132 to 286 matches the Rfam family "5.8S ribosomal RNA". The record is from RNAcentral. Lineage: Eukaryota; Fungi; Basidiomycota; Agaricomycetes; Boletales; Suillaceae.